RNAcentral lists this ribosomal RNA (429 nucleotides) under Bacteroidota bacterium. RNAcentral describes it as "Bacteroidetes bacterium partial 16S ribosomal RNA". It matches the Rfam family "Bacterial small subunit ribosomal RNA", at positions 355 to 776 of the family's 1533-position model. The record is from RNAcentral. Lineage: Bacteria; Pseudomonadati; Bacteroidota.
UAGGGAAUCUUCGGCAAUGGGGGGAACCCUGACCGAGCAACGCCGCGUGAGUGAAGAAGGUUUUCGGAUCGUAAAGCUCUGUUGUUAAGGAAGAACGAGUGUGAGAAUGGAAAGUUCAUACUGUGACGGUACUUAACCAGAAAGGGACGGCUAACUACGUGCCAGCAGCCGCGGUAAUACGUAGGUCCCGAGCGUUGUCCGGAUUUAUUGGGCGUAAAGCGAGCGCAGGCGGUUAGAUAAGUCUGAAGUUAAAGGCGGUGGCUCAACCAUUGUAGGCUUUGAAAACUGAUUAACUUGAGUGCAGAAGGGGAGAGUGGAAUUCCAUGUGUAGCGGUGAAAUGCGUAGAUAGAUGGAGGAACACCGGUGGCGAAAGCGGCUCUCUGGUCUGUAACUGACGCUGAGGCUCGAAAGCGUGGGGAGCGAACAGG